AAUUUAUUAGUUCUUAAUAUGUGAUUUCAUGAACAAUAACUUAAUCUUUAUACACAAUAAAAUAUUAUAACAAGCAAUUACGAAAAACACAAUGCAAUUGUCUUGUCUUCUCAAAUAAAAACAAAGUUAAGGACUUAAUAAUAAUUUCUUAAUGGCUAAAAGAAUAAAAACUAAUAGGAAGUCUCUAAUUAGCCAAAUUUAGCACUAAUAAGCCCUUGAAUAGACCCAAUUAAGCCCACAACAGUCACAAGAAAGCAAACAAAGCUAAAAGUCCUAAGAACAAUCCAUUUUCUUGUCCAAGCCCUAAUUUUCUUCUGCAAUAAAUACAUUUCCACAGGAAAAUAUAUAGCCAAAGGCCAAAAGUUCAAGGCCCCAAGAACUCCUAAAACUUGGUUGAAGUAAGGGAAGGCCAUUGCAAUAGCAGUUGUUGAAGCAACAUAGGCUGUUCUAAAACAUAGCCUCAAAAGAUUGAUUUGAAGAGGAGGAAACAAUGGGAGCUUUAAAGGGUAGAAUCUAUUCACAAACCGGCUUCUUGGAUAUUUCUUAGCGGACCAACCUUCCACAAAUGCAAACACUGGCUGACUAAAUAUCUGAUAUCCUCCCACCAGAUGAAGAAUAAUGCAAGCAUUUGCAAAAUCAAUGAGCCAAUAAGGUUCAAAAAACCCAAAUCCUGUCAAGAGAUUUCCAGGAGUUUUGUUGCCAAAGGCUGCAUAUCCAAAGCAUCCACAGCACAGGUAAAAGAAAGUUGUAAUAAAUACUGCAAUCAUUGAGGCCUUCUUCAUGGUCUUGUUCUCUGGUGGAUGUGAUUUCAGUGUAUCCUGAAUCUCAAGAAGAAUAAGUGAGUAUGGAUAGGCAAAAGCAAUAUCCCCUAGUGCUUGAAAGGCUAACCAUAGUUUAUCAGCAACAUUAGCAGCUGGGACUCCAUUGAUACUUCCCUUAAUCCUCCCAUUCUCUAUUACUUUUGCAAAGCCAAGACUAAACCCUAUAAAAGAAUAGGUGAAGGACAUUAUUGCUGCAAUUGCUGAGAGCCAUUCCAUGUCAUGUAAAUGUGGUAUUUGUGAUGCUACUAUUUGAAUCAAUCCAAAAAUAACCAUGAACAUUGUAUUCCCAUAUUUACAUGCAGCUUCCUGCCCUUCUCUGUGGUAGCAAUUCGACCUUUGAAUUGCUCUCAUGCUGGUUGAAGUAGUAAUAACAUAAGCAACAGCAGUUCCAUACAUGCUCAAGUAUUGAAGCAAACCACAAAACCAUGUAUGUAUCCUACCUGAACUAUCACUACACCAAAUUAGGAACUAUAUGCAGAAAACUAGACAAAGGGUAUUGAAAAAAUUAGUCUGAUAUAACCUAGAUUUACUCUAACAGCAUCCAUGUAAGUGUAGUUUCGUGAUCCUGUUACAGGGUCGGGAGACCUGUAACAAUCUGACAGGAGGAACGCAGAAACGUACGUCACAAUUGCGAAGCAGAGCAAGACAACUGGCCCUGCAAUCCAUCCUAAUUGAGCUGUGCUCCAAGCCAAAGAUAGAACUCCAGAGCCAAUAACAGCUGUAAUUAUAUGUGCGGUGCAACUCCACAAAGUUCCAGUUCUUAGUGGACGCCCAUCAUCAUCACAGGAAGAAUUUUCCAGUUCAAGAGGGUGCUGGACUGCCAUGGUUAUUGUUCAAUUCACACCAGGCAUUCAAAUGAACUGAAAUCUAAGAGCUCUAACUCCUCCGACUAUAUCCAAACACAACGCCUUGAUCCCUCACCCUCUCUCCACCGCUGCCUACCCCUCUAGAAAUGAAAUGAGCCGACUACUGCAGUGAGUGACGAGAACCAAACCAGCGAUAGCUUAUGAGGCGAAGAUUUCUUCAGCUUGGAAGGAGGUCGAGGUGCUUCCUGCGGAAUGAAAUAUUUGAACAAAAAAGUCUGCAGAGAAUGCAGACCAAGUAUGAAAAUUAAUAUUGAAUAUACACAUGAAUAAAGCAGGGCAUUUGGAUUAGGCAGAAAACCAGGGGAUGAGACAAAUUCUUUGACCUCUGCUGCUGCUG
RNAcentral lists this unclassified non-coding RNA (2024 nucleotides) under Hevea brasiliensis (rubber tree). The record is from RNAcentral. Lineage: Eukaryota; Viridiplantae; Streptophyta; Magnoliopsida; Malpighiales; Euphorbiaceae.